This 206-nucleotide ribosomal RNA is filed under the name uncultured bacterium. Its description in RNAcentral is "partial 16S ribosomal RNA". It matches the Rfam family "Bacterial small subunit ribosomal RNA", at positions 568 to 774 of the family's 1533-position model. The record is from RNAcentral.
CAUGUAGGCGGAUUAAUAAGUUUGAAGUGAAAUCCUAUAGCUUAACUAUAGAACUGCUUUGAAAACUGUUAAUCUAGAAUGUGGGAGAGGUAGAUGGAAUUUCUGGUGUAGGGUAAAAUCCGUAGAGAUCAGAAGGAAUACCGAUUGCGGAGGCGAUCUACUGGAACAUUAUUGACGCUGAGAUGCGAAAGCGUGGGGAGCAAACA